Molecule: long non-coding RNA, 2347 nt
Organism: Mustela erminea (ermine)
Lineage: Eukaryota; Metazoa; Chordata; Mammalia; Carnivora; Mustelidae
Exons: 4
Source: RefSeq, a predicted model, not a curated record
UGGUACAAAAAGGUCCACACGUGAGUGCCUAGUCUCUGGGAACACAGAGGAGAAAUGAUUCAUCCUGCCUUGAUUCAGAGGUGGGAGGCCUGGGGCUUAUUUGCAUGAGACUCUAUCACUUGGACACGUCUCUGUGCCAUUUUCCUCACAUGUAAAAUUGCUCUGAUAACCAUACCUGUAAGGUUUUACAGGCGAGAUACACAGGACACCAGGCGAGACAGGCGCAAGGCAAGUUUUAUUAAAGGCGCUCUUGGGCGAAGUUCCGCGACUCAGGAGAGGAGAGUCCGGGAAGUCACGCCCGGGAGGGGGCCGAGUGGGUCUUUCAUUUGGCUUAAGACAGGGCAUAGGUUCACAGCCAUAUAAGGUAAGGUAUUCAGGGUGUGGGUUCACAACAACUAUAUAUGUUAAGGUAUUUGUGGUUGGAGGGUAGGGGGAGUCCUGAUGUUCCUGUUUCCUGCAUAGGUAUCCGUGUACUUAUGGUGACGUGUCCUCAGCAUACGUCCUUCCGGCGGGUGAGUCAUGGGUAAAGGAAGAGGGCGGCCUGGAAGAUGACGGCCCGGCGGCCAUUUUUAUUGUUCCUCCUACAUUCCUGGAGCCACUGACCCAACUAUACCCGCCUAUGGCUUCAGUGAGGAUACAGAAAGCUUUUAACAGUGUCAGCUUCUAGGAGAUGAAAUGAUUUAAUCAGGACUUUGCUGAUACCACAGUCUUUGGCAGGACUUCGUGGCUCAUUGCUGAUCCCAGGAAAAGACUGAGAGCCUACAAAUGAAGUUUUCAAUAUUCGUGGAAAGAGAAUCAACAAAUGCUGAGUCACAGUGUUCCUGCGUUCCACAUCCUUGCUGCUGGGGCGUUGCCGCAGGCAGCCAUGGCCACUGAGGCAGAACAUGCCAGGCUCCGGUGAGAGCUACUGCUGCAGUCCUCAGCACACAAAGAACUCUCCAGAACAGAUGAUUAUCAUCUUAACCAGUCGCUGCAUGGUCAACAUCUGAUACCUCUUACCACAUGGAGGUGACAAAGUCAAUCCAUUGGCCUGUCUGCCCCAGAGCUAGAGAUCUUGUCUUCUGGUGAUGAUUUAAUGAAGUCCAAGUCAUCUUGCAAAAAAGGAAGUGGAAAAGGAUUCAAGCAGUGCAUUUUUGGCAGCAACAGUAGUUCUGAGACGUUCUCUUUUAACAGAGAAAACAUCGUGGCUGAUAAAUAUGGCAGAACUCUUUUGAAACAGUGUCCUGUCUUACGUGUGUUCUACAGUGCUCCAAAAAGAGGAAACUUGUCUUUUGUGGCUUCCAAGAAAGAGCGUUUUUCUCCUCUUCUUUUUGUUUGUUGCAUAUCUAAAUCCCCAGAAUCAUCUAGGAAGAAGAAGGGGGUGAAGACUUUCAAAAGAAAUGAGUCUCUCAUUACGAAAGUAAUAUUCCACUCCACAUAUGCAGAUGCUGGCAUGUGCAGAAGAGAAGGUACUGUUUGUCUUACUGCAUCAUAAUUUGGAUGUUUGAUUUAACUAGAGCAGCCUUGUAUUGUAGCCAAUAUGUAUUACAUAAAGUUACCCCUGAGACUACUCCUCAGAAACUGGAUAAAUGGAACUGUGUGCUCUGGUAAAAUGGCCCCUGAAGAGAUUAUCCCAGGAAGAUAAGAGUAAGCUUCACCGUGUACCAAAGAAGUGGUAUAUUACACACACACACUCACUCCCCUAAAUUUGCAUAUAGAGGUUUGACUCUUUUCAGAACUUUCUUAGAUUCAUGUUUAUUUAGACCUCUUCCUUAUGAUAACUCCCCAUUUUUCUUCUUAAUCCAUCUUUAAAAUAAAGUGGGCAUUUUUCUGAGUUAAAGAUUUUGAACUUUGCAGCACCUACCUAUAAAUCAACUGAUCAGCUUGUGAAGAAUGCUUUGUCUUUGAGGGAAGGGGAAGGAGUGCACAGUAAGAUGGAAGUAGAUUUCCUGUGGCCUUUGGCUCACUGUUAGCUCAAUUCUGAGAAUCUAGAUUUAGAAGACAAACAAAAUGUCAGACUGGUCUCUGUGGUUUCCCCUCCAUCUUCUAACUUCUUAGAGGUCCACCCAGUCUUUGGAAUUAACAUCUGCCAAUCUCAAGAGACUAUAUAAUUGAGUAAAAACAGACCCAAGUGGCAACAGUAAGGGACUUGGAAUUAAUACAACUUUGGGGCCAAAGUAUUUAGCCUAGUAAGUAUUAUUCGAUAAAUUCUGGAUACAAUUUAAUUAGGCAUAUGGAUAAAGAAGGGGGAAAAUAAUCCCUUGGAAACGGAUUGAAAGUCUUCUCCAUUGUGAAGAGGGAAUUAACUCAAUGUACACACUGGAACUAAAAGCGUGAGGCCAAAUUUGGAGACAGAGUGGAAACCCCU